This 450-nucleotide ribosomal RNA is filed under the name uncultured bacterium. Its description in RNAcentral is "bacterial SSU rRNA". It matches the Rfam family "Bacterial small subunit ribosomal RNA", at positions 354 to 796 of the family's 1533-position model. The record is from RNAcentral.
GUGGGGAAUUUUGGACAAUGGGGGCAACCCUGAUCCAGCCAUUCCGCGUGAGUGAAGAAGGCCUUCGGGUUGUAAAGCUCUUUCGGCAGGAACGAAACGGUGAGCUCUAACAUAGCUCGCUAAUGACGGUACCUGAAGAAUAAGCACCGGCUAACUACGUGCCAGCAGCCGCGGUAAUACGUAGGGUGCAAGCGUUAAUCGGAAUUACUGGGCGUAAAGCGUGCGCAGGCGGUUAUAUAAGACAGAUGUGAAAUCCCCGGGCUCAACCUGGGAACUGCAUUUGUGACUGUAUAGCUAGAGUACGGCAGAGGGGGAUGGAAUUCCGCGUGUAGCAGUGAAAUGCGUAGAUAUGCGGAGGAACACCGAUGGCGAAGGCAAUCCCCUGGGCCUGUACUGACGCUCAUGCACGAAAGCGUGGGGAGCAAACAGGAUUAGAAACCCUUGUAGUCC